This 289-nucleotide unclassified non-coding RNA is filed under the name uncultured fungus. RNAcentral describes it as "partial contains 5.8S rRNA, ITS2 and 28S rRNA". It matches the Rfam family "Eukaryotic large subunit ribosomal RNA", at positions 668 to 961 of the family's 3401-position model. Lineage: Eukaryota; Fungi. The record is from RNAcentral.
AAGGAGUCUAACAUGUGUGCGAGUUUUUGGGUGGCAAACCCAUGAGCGUAAUGAAAGUGAAUGCAGGUGGGAUCCGCAAGGAGCACCAUCGACCGGCCCUGAUGUUCUCGGAUGGGCCUGCGUAAGAGCAUAUAUGUUGGGACCCGAAAGAUGGUGAACUAUGCCUGAAUAGGGCGAGGCCAGAGGAAACUCUGGUUGAGGCUCUCAGCGGUUCUGACGUGCAAAUCGAUCGUCAAAUUUGGGUAUAGGGGCGAAAGACUAAUCGAACCAUCUAGUAGCUGGUUCAUGC